This 253-nucleotide ribosomal RNA is filed under the name uncultured bacterium. RNAcentral's name for it is "partial 16S ribosomal RNA". It matches the Rfam family "Bacterial small subunit ribosomal RNA", at positions 524 to 776 of the family's 1533-position model. The record is from RNAcentral.
UACGUAGGGUGCAAGCGUUAUCCGGAAUUAUUGGGCGUAAAGAGCGUGUAGGCGGCUUGUUAAGUCUUGCGUGAAAUCUCGGGGCUCAACCCCGAGCGGUCGUGAGAAACUGGCAGGCUAGAGUGCGGGAGAGGAGAGUGGAAUUCUCGGUGUAGAGGUGAAAUUCGUAGAUAUCGAGAGGAACACCUGCGGCGAAGGCGGGUUGCUGGGCUGACACUGACGCUGAUGCGCGAAAGCCAGGGGAGCGAACGGG